GGAGUCUGGGCCGUGUCUCAGUCCCAAUGUGGCCGUUCAACCUCUCAGUCCGGCUACUGAUCGUCGACUUGGUAGGCCGUUACCCCACCAACUAUCUAAUCAGCCGCGAGCCCAUCUUUGAGCGAUAAAUCUUUGAUUACCAGAUCAUGCGGUCCGGUAAUGUUAUGCGGUAUUACCAUCCGUUUCCAGAAGCUAUUCCGCUCUCAAAGGCAGGUUGCUCACGUGUUACUCACCCGUCCGCCACUAAGUUAUUAAAAGCAAGCUUCCAAUAACUCCGUUCGACUUGCAUGUGUUAAGCGUGCCGCCAGCGUUCGUCCUGAGCCACGGAUCAAACUCU
Molecule: ribosomal RNA, 337 nt
Filed under: uncultured Ruminococcus sp.
Lineage: Bacteria; Bacillati; Bacillota; Clostridia; Eubacteriales; Oscillospiraceae
Description: partial 16S ribosomal RNA
Source: RNAcentral